AAAACUUUCAACAACGGAUCUCUUGGUUCUGGCAUCGAUGAAGAACGCAGCGAAAUGCGAUAAGUAAUGUGAAUUGCAGAAUUUAGUGAAUCAUCGAAUCUUUGAACGCACAUUGCGCCCCUCGGUAUUCCGGGGGGCCUGCCUGCUCGAGCGUCAUUA
RNAcentral lists this ribosomal RNA (159 nucleotides) under Cladonia scabriuscula. RNAcentral describes it as "5.8S ribosomal RNA". It matches the Rfam family "5.8S ribosomal RNA". Rfam says of the family: 5.8S ribosomal RNA (5.8S rRNA) is a component of the large subunit of the eukaryotic ribosome. It is transcribed by RNA polymerase I as part of the 45S precursor that also contains 18S and 28S rRNA. Lineage: Eukaryota; Fungi; Ascomycota; Lecanoromycetes; Lecanorales; Cladoniaceae. The record is from RNAcentral.